This 507-nucleotide ribosomal RNA is filed under the name uncultured bacterium. Its description in RNAcentral is "bacterial SSU rRNA". It matches the Rfam family "Bacterial small subunit ribosomal RNA", at positions 9 to 498 of the family's 1533-position model. The record is from RNAcentral.
GAGUUUGAUCCUGGCUCAGGAUGAACGCUGGCGGCGUGCCUAAUACAUGCAAGUCGAGCGAACAGAUAAGGAGCUUGCUCCUUUGACGUUAGCGGCGGACGGGUGAGUAACACGUGGGUAACCUACCUAUAAGACUGGAAUAACUCCGGGAAACCGGGGCUAAUGCCGGAUAAUAUUUAGAACCGCAUGGUUCUAAAGUGAAAGAUGGUUUUGCUAUCACUUAUAGAUGGACCCGCGCCGUAUUAGCUAGUUGGUGGGGUAAUGGCUUACCAAGGCAACGAUACGUAGCCGACCUGAGAGGGUGAUCGGCCACACUGGAACUGAGACACGGUCCAGACUCCUACGGGAGGCAGCAGUAGGGAAUCUUCCGCAAUGGGCGAAAGCCUGACGGAGCAACGCCGCGUGAGUGAUGAAGGUCCUCGGAUCGUAAAACUCUGUUAUUAGGGAAGAACAAAUGUGUAAGUAACUGUGCACGUCUUGACGGUACCUAAUCAGAAAGCCACGGCU